CGGGGAGGGGCGGGGUGGCGCCUCCGUUCACCUUGCUUGCAUCCGCUGAAGGGAGCUCCUGGCCCGCAGGGGGCGAGGGCGGGGGCGGGCCCUAAGAAGGCGCCCCUCGGCCCCUAGGCCUUCCACAGGCCCCCUCCCCCCAGCCCCCAGCUCUCAUCAGCCCGCGCCUUCUCUACAACUUUCUCCCCUCACCCUUCACAAUUUUCGCUCACCUGGAGGGUCUGGUUUUAAUUAGUGUAAUAUCCCCGUUAACAACGCAGCCUAAUUAAGACAUCCGCCCCGAGUCCGCGAUUCACACUUAAUGAGCACGCUCUGCCGCAAUGUUUACACUCUUUUUUUCAUUAUUUUUUGCAGACUAGUAAAACCAAAGCCAGCUUCUGGCUAAAAGACUUCAUUACAGACGACCCCACUCCAUGAGCCCCGUACCUGCUCCAUGCUAAGUGCCCUGGGCUCCCCAGCCAAGUCGGCGUUAGAGGCAGGAAAUUAACGACCCGGCGAGCACGAGCGAGAGAAGCGACUUCAUCUCCAGCUGCGGAAGGAGGGGACUCUCCCAGGGACGGAUCCCUCCGCCCCAGCCCUCGGCCUGCACCGCCCGGAGCAGAAGUGGGCAGCUCGGUCAUCCAGGAGUUUCGACCCACCUCGCUGGCCCCCAGCCCAGCCCAGCCCAGCCCAGCCAGCGGACUCCAGGAACAUCCCGCCCACACUCCCCGUGAGACCCUGGGUUCCCGGGCCCCUCAGGACGCUGGUCGCCGCGUCUCAAGUCCUCGCACGGCCUGGGUGCGGGCCCCGGUUGGCCAGGCGCUGCGGGGCCGCGCGCCAGGGGAGGCUCCGCGCCUCGGUGUAAGGGAAUGGAGUAAUCCCGCCGACUCCAAACCCAGCCAUAGUGGUUGUCCAGAUUGGCCAAUCGGACCACCUUCAACAUUUCCACCCAGGUGAAAAUCCCCAGGUACUGGAGAGCAGAAGAAAGGCAACAGUAAUCAGCUGUAGGCUUCAGAAAAGUCAAGGCAGGAGGGCACAGCCCAUGGAAAUGGCAAGCAAAAACUUCGAAGGCUCAGAACCAGCAGUCCAGCACCGACACUCUGACCUUCACCCUCUGUGUCAGCACCCAGGGGAGUCUUCCAGAGGAAACUGACGCUCACCAAGAGGAAAUGUAAAGAGACAGCUUUGCCAUUCCUCAGCCAAGACCCCAGUCAGUCUCUCCAGAGGGAAGCCCCAGCACAAGCCCACCCAGCCCCAAGCUGCCUCCCUCGAGCUCAUUUGAGCCCUUCAGACAACCCUGAAGAGAAAACCCAACAAGACAACCACCAGGGUAGGGGCAGGUGAGGGGGGAUCUUUGAAGAAACAGACUUAGGCAAGGAGGAGAAAAUAUCAGAAAUAGCCGUAUUUAAUAUCCUCGAAGAGAUCAGAGGAGAUAUUGCAUCCCAGAACCAAGAGCAGGAUGCUAUUUUAAGGAGAACAUUUAGAGAACAAAAAGGGCUGGGAAAUUAAAAGCAUGAGAGCCGAAACAAAAAAAAAAAAAACUCAACAGACUGGUUGGAAGAUAAAAGUAAGCGAAUGUCCCAGAAGGCACAGCAAAAAGACAAAGAGGAAAAAAGAAAGAAAGGAGGAAAAAUUAGAUGCCACAUUCAAACUACACAAAAGAAUUCUGGGGCGGCGGGCUGGGGGUGAAUGAGAAUCACAAACUAUUUAAUUCAAGAAAUGUUCCCAGAAAUGAGAAUGAGUUUUCAAAUUCUACACACAAUGGAUGGAAAUUGACCCACAUCAAGGCAUAUUAUAAUAGAAAAUAGAGAAAGUUCCCUCAGGUUUCCAAGCACUAUGAAAAAGAGCAAGGGUGAGAGUGACUCCUGAAUUUUCAACAGCAACAGCAGGGCAAGCUAACAAACAACACAGUAUGCCUUCAAAACGCCAACAGAUAGUGAUUUCUGGCCUAGAAUCUUUUACUUAAUCAAAACGACAAUAAAAUGUGAAUUAAAAUAAAGACGUUUGAAUAGGC
Molecule: long non-coding RNA, 1993 nt
Organism: Heterocephalus glaber (naked mole-rat)
Lineage: Eukaryota; Metazoa; Chordata; Mammalia; Rodentia; Bathyergidae
Source: Ensembl